RNAcentral lists this transfer RNA (72 nucleotides) under Rickettsiales bacterium. Its description in RNAcentral is "tRNA-Arg". It matches the Rfam family "tRNA". Rfam says of the family: Transfer RNA (tRNA) molecules are approximately 80 nucleotides in length. Their secondary structure includes four short double-helical elements and three loops (D, anti-codon, and T loops). The record is from RNAcentral. Lineage: Bacteria; Pseudomonadati; Pseudomonadota; Alphaproteobacteria; Rickettsiales.
GGGGAGUUAGUUUAGUGGAUAAAACUACAACCUUCUAAGUUGUUGUCGAUGGUUCGAUUCCAUCACUCCCUG